Molecule: unclassified non-coding RNA, 394 nt
Filed under: soil metagenome
Description: partial contains 5.8S ribosomal RNA, internal transcribed spacer 2, and large subunit ribosomal RNA
Rfam family: 5.8S ribosomal RNA (bases 1-122)
Source: RNAcentral
GAUGAAGAACGUAGCGAAAUGCGAUACUUGGUGUGAAUUGCAGAAUCCCGUGAACCAUCGAGUCUUUGAACGCAAGUUGCGCCCGAAGCCAUCAGGUUGAGGGCACGUCUGCCUGGGCGUCACAUAUCGUUGCCCAAUGCCUAUUGCAGUGCAAUAGGAAUUUCUAGGGCGAAUGAUGGCUUCCCGUGAGCGUUGUUGCCUCGCGGUUGGUUGAAAAUCGAGUCCUUGGUAGGGUGUGCCAUGGUAGAUGGUGGUCGAGUUAGAACGAUACCGAUCAUGUGCAUGCUCCCCAAAAUAUGGCCUCUAUGACCCACACGCGUCUUUUGACGCUCAUGACGUGACCUCAGGUCAGGCGGGGCUACCCGCUGAAUUUAAGCAUAUCAUAAGCGGAGGA